UCACGAUCAGAGGGACGGAUCCAGCUC
This 27-nucleotide non-coding RNA is filed under the name Homo sapiens (human). The record is from RNAcentral. Lineage: Eukaryota; Metazoa; Chordata; Mammalia; Primates; Hominidae.